CCUACGGGGUGCAACAGUGAGGAAUAUUGGUCAAUGGGCGUAAGCCUGAACCAGCCAAGUCGCGUGAGGGAUGAAGGUUCUAUGGAUCGUAAACCUCUUUUAUAAGGGAAUAAAGUGCGGGACGUGUCCCGUUUUGUAUGUACCUUAUGAAUAAGGAUCGGCUAACUCCGUGCCAGCAGCCGCGGUAAUACGGAGGAUCCGAGCGUUAUCCGGAUUUAUUGGGUUUAAAGGGUGCGUAGGCGGCCUUUUAAGUCAGCGGUGAAAGUCUGUGGCUCAACCAUAGAAUUGCCGUUGAAACUGGGAGGCUUGAGUAUGUUUGAGGCAGGCGGAAUGCGUGGUGUAGCGGUGAAAUGCUUAGAUAUCACGCAGAACCCCGAUUGCGAAGGCAGCUUGCCAAGCCAUGACUGACGCUGAUGCACGAAAGCGUGGGGAUCAAACAGGAUUAGAUACCCUAGUAGUC
RNAcentral lists this ribosomal RNA (460 nucleotides) under uncultured bacterium. Its description in RNAcentral is "partial 16S ribosomal RNA". It matches the Rfam family "Bacterial small subunit ribosomal RNA", at positions 338 to 795 of the family's 1533-position model. The record is from RNAcentral.